UGAAGCAAGGUGCCACGUGUCAUACUGU
This 28-nucleotide non-coding RNA is filed under the name Rattus norvegicus (Norway rat). The record is from RNAcentral. Lineage: Eukaryota; Metazoa; Chordata; Mammalia; Rodentia; Muridae.